CCUUCGAUAACUCAGUUGGUAGAGCGGAGGACUGUAGAUCCUUAGGUCGCUGGUUCAAAUCCGGAUCAAAGGA
RNAcentral lists this transfer RNA (73 nucleotides) under Albula goreensis. Its description in RNAcentral is "tRNA-Tyr". It matches the Rfam family "tRNA". Rfam says of the family: Transfer RNA (tRNA) molecules are approximately 80 nucleotides in length. Their secondary structure includes four short double-helical elements and three loops (D, anti-codon, and T loops). Lineage: Eukaryota; Metazoa; Chordata; Actinopteri; Albuliformes; Albulidae. The record is from RNAcentral.